CCUUCGGGUUGUAAACCACUUUUGUCAGGGAAGAAAUCGAAUCCAUUAAUACUGGGUUUGGAUGACGGUACCUGGAGAAUAAGCACCGGCUAACUACGUGC
This 101-nucleotide ribosomal RNA is filed under the name uncultured bacterium. RNAcentral's name for it is "partial 16S ribosomal RNA". The record is from RNAcentral.